RNAcentral lists this transfer RNA (78 nucleotides) under Pseudomonadota bacterium. Its description in RNAcentral is "tRNA-OTHER". Lineage: Bacteria; Pseudomonadati; Pseudomonadota. The record is from RNAcentral.
UGUGGGUUGUUGGCGGUUAUAGUAAAAAUUAGGCUCAUAACCUGAAGGUCGUAGGUUCAAAUCCUGCCCCCGCAACCA